Molecule: long non-coding RNA, 489 nt
Organism: Oncorhynchus tshawytscha (Chinook salmon)
Lineage: Eukaryota; Metazoa; Chordata; Actinopteri; Salmoniformes; Salmonidae
Source: Ensembl
CUUGGCCCAUGGAAUCACACAAACUGAUGAGAGACCAGCGUCACAUGGAACUACACAAACUGAACUUUCAGCAUUACAUAGAACUACACAAACCAAGAAGAGGCCAGCAACCCACAGAACUACACAAACUGAAGUUUCAGCAUUCAAUGGACCUGCACAAACUGAUGAAAGACUAGCAUUGCAUGGAACUACACAAACUGAAGAGGGACCAGCGUCCUCUCGAACAUUACCCUCAGCCUCUCCUCUGCCUGGCGGUGCUGCCACAGAGCAUCAGAAUCCAGUAGAAGAACUGGGAUUGGGACCUUCACCUGCUGAGGAUGUUACUGAAGUAGCAGGGUGGGUCAAACCAGACAACAUAGAGACCAGCAAAUCAUCCGACUUGGUCAGUCCUCAACAUGUAGAGAAUGCACCAAUACCAGAAUUGGUCAGUCCUCAACAUGUAGAGAAUGCACCAACAUCAAGAUUGGCUUGUCAACCACAUGAAGAGGC